This 467-nucleotide ribosomal RNA is filed under the name uncultured bacterium. RNAcentral describes it as "partial 16S ribosomal RNA". It matches the Rfam family "Bacterial small subunit ribosomal RNA", at positions 28 to 506 of the family's 1533-position model. The record is from RNAcentral.
GACGAACGCUGGCGGCGUGCUUAACACAUGCAAGUCGAACGGAAAGGCCCUGCUUUUGUGGGGUGCUCGAGUGGCGAACGGGUGAGUAACACGUGAGUAACCUGCCCUUGACUUUGGGAUAACUUCAGGAAACUGGGGCUAAUACCGGAUAGGAGCUCCUGCUGCAUGGUGGGGGUUGGAAAGUUUCGGCGGUUGGGGAUGGACUCGCGGCUUAUCAGCUUGUUGGUGGGGUAGUGGCUUACCAAGGCUUUGACGGGUAGCCGGCCUGAGAGGGUGACCGGCCCCAUGGGGGCGGGGAUACGGCCCAGACCCCUACGGGGGGCAGGGGGGGGGAAUUUUGCACAAUGGGCGGAAGCCUGAUGCAGCAACGCCGGGUGGGGGAUGACGGCCUUCGGGUUGUAAACCGCUUUCGCCUGUGACGAAGCGGGAGUGACGGUAAUGGGUAAAGAAGCACCGGCUAACUACGG